Long non-coding RNA from Lolium rigidum, 671 nucleotides. RefSeq lists it as uncharacterized. The record is from RefSeq and is a predicted model, not a curated record. The transcript is spliced from 3 exons. NCBI's taxonomy places the organism in Eukaryota, Viridiplantae, Streptophyta, Magnoliopsida, Poales, Poaceae.
CAACAAUGGAUUCCCUUGUCCUGUCUUUUACCUUUCGUUUCAGCUCAAUGGUGAGCCGUCGCUAACCCCAAGCCGCGCCGAUCUCCAACCUAUCCGGUCCGGCCUUGCCUCACCGAGCCUCCGUCAGCUAGAUCUGGCGACCAUUGUUGCGUCCUCGACCACGACACACCAUGGAUCUGCUAGCCUCCACCCUGCCGCAGCUGGAGCCCAGCUCCCCAAAACGUCAUACACUCCUCCCUGCACAUAUUCAUUGGAACAAGGAAAAGUACACAUUGAAUUUCUUCCAUCGUAUAUGGAUUCAGAAAGGUUGGUUGCAUUGCUCAGAAAAAUUGGUCAUCAAAAUAGAAUUGGGCAGCUAGUGGUGAUAAAGCACGAGCUUCUCCAUUAACCAGAAGGCUCAACAGGGAAGACUGAGAUUUGAUUGUGGAGUUGAUGUGUGAUUAGGCACAUGGAUUUGAGGUUGGAUUUUCUUCUGCUUCCGGCAUAUGGAUUAGGUAGGAUUAUGCAAGUUUUUGACCUAGCUUGAUGGAUCCGUGUCUACAAAAAAAGCUAGGAUUUCUAGAUGGGAGGAUUUUAUGCUGACCACGCUGAAGCCAAUUGCAUGUUCUCCAAGUCUGUUUUUUUUUUUUGGAAGUUUUUUUCCACCUUAUUGAGAGGCAGAUCAUUAGUGG